This 21-nucleotide non-coding RNA is filed under the name Arabidopsis thaliana (thale cress). Lineage: Eukaryota; Viridiplantae; Streptophyta; Magnoliopsida; Brassicales; Brassicaceae. The record is from RNAcentral.
UUUGGGGCGCACAAGGAAUGG